Molecule: non-coding RNA, 29 nt
Filed under: Rattus norvegicus (Norway rat)
Lineage: Eukaryota; Metazoa; Chordata; Mammalia; Rodentia; Muridae
Source: RNAcentral
UAGAACAAAGGAGUGUGGUCAGGGUGGAA